This 433-nucleotide ribosomal RNA is filed under the name uncultured bacterium. RNAcentral's name for it is "partial 16S ribosomal RNA". It matches the Rfam family "Bacterial small subunit ribosomal RNA", at positions 29 to 507 of the family's 1533-position model. The record is from RNAcentral.
AACGAACGCUGGCGGCAGGCCUAACACAUGCAAGUCGAGCGAGGACUUCGGUCCUAGCGGCGGACGGGUGAGUAACGCGUGGGAACGUGCCCUUUGCUUCGGAAUAGCCCUGGGAAACUGGGAGUAAUACCGGAUGAGCCCUUGGGGGGAAAGAUUUAUCGGCGAAGGAUCGGCCCGCGUUGGAUUAGGUAGUUGGUGGGGUAAUGGCCUACCAAGCCGACGAUCCAUAGCUGGUUUGAGAGGAUGAUCAGCCACACUGGGACUGAGACACGGCCCAGACUCCUACGGGAGGCAGCAGUGGGGAAUCUUAGACAAUGGGGGAAACCCUGAUCUAGCCAUGCCGCGUGAGCGAUGAAGGCCUUAGGGUUGUAAAGCUCUUUCAGCUGGGAAGAUAAUGACGGUACCAGCAGAAGAAGCCCCGGCUCACUCCGUG